Molecule: small nuclear RNA, 121 nt
Filed under: Alligator mississippiensis (American alligator)
Lineage: Eukaryota; Metazoa; Chordata; Crocodylia; Alligatoridae
Description: U4 spliceosomal RNA
Rfam family: U4 spliceosomal RNA
About the family: U4 small nuclear RNA (U4 snRNA) is a component of the major U2-dependent spliceosome. The structure of U4 snRNA from yeast and human has been reported.
Source: Rfam by way of RNAcentral
UUACAUGCGCAGUGGCAGUAUGGUAGUCUGUGAGGUUGAACUGAGGCACGAUCAUUGCUAGUGGAAAACUUGUUUCUUUGAGUGAGAGAGAUUCACUGUUAUUCCAUUUGUUUCCUAUAGG